This 85-nucleotide ribosomal RNA is filed under the name Bacillus cereus. RNAcentral's name for it is "partial 16S ribosomal RNA". It matches the Rfam family "Bacterial small subunit ribosomal RNA", at positions 1 to 84 of the family's 1533-position model. Lineage: Bacteria; Bacillati; Bacillota; Bacilli; Caryophanales; Bacillaceae. The record is from RNAcentral. RNAcentral also lists the same sequence under 1 other name.
UUUAUUGGAGAGUUUGAUCCUGGCUCAGGAUGAACGCUGGCGGCGUGCCUAAUACAUGCAAGUCGAGCGAAUGGAUUGAGAGCUU